Molecule: ribosomal RNA, 457 nt
Filed under: uncultured bacterium
Lineage: Bacteria
Description: bacterial SSU rRNA
Rfam family: Bacterial small subunit ribosomal RNA
Source: RNAcentral
ACUCCUACGGGAGGCAGCAGUAGGGAAUCUUCCACAAUGGGCGAAAGCCUGAUGGAGCAACGCCGCGUGGGUGAAGAAGGUCUUCGGAUCGUAAAACCCUGUUGUUAGAGAAGAAAGUGCGUGAGAGUAACUGUUCACGUUUCGACGGUAUCUAACCAGAAAGCCACGGCUAACUACGUGCCAGCAGCCGCGGUAAUACGUAGGUGGCAAGCGUUAUCCGGAUUUAUUGGGCGUAAAGGGAACGCAGGCGGUUCUUUUAAGUCUGAUGUGAAAGCCUUCGGCUUAACCGGAGUAGUGCAUUGGAAACUGGGAGACUUGAGUGCAGAAGAGGAGAGUGGAACUCCAUGUGUAGCGGUGAAAUGCGUAGAUAUAUGGAAGAACACCAGUGGCGAAAGCGGCUCUCUGGUCUGUAACUGACGCUGAGGUUCGAAAGCGUGGUAGCAAACAGGAUUAGAUA